This 7080-nucleotide long non-coding RNA is filed under the name Sus scrofa (pig). RNAcentral's name for it is "lncRNA (ENSSSCG00050051420.1)". Lineage: Eukaryota; Metazoa; Chordata; Mammalia; Artiodactyla; Suidae. The record is from RNAcentral.
CCGGCCUCCGUCGCUAGGGACGCGGCAGCCGGGCAACCGCGAUGGGCCCGGAAGAGGGGUCGACGCCGGUGGACAACGUGGUCACUCAGUUCAGCACCUAUGAGGACUUCCUGGACUCGCAGAUCACCACGGUGGACUUGUACUACCUGGAGGACGAAGGCCUGGCCCGCCAGCUGGUGGAGCUAGGCUACCGGGGAACGGGCGAGGUGGUGAAAAGGGAGGACUUCGAAGCAAGGAAGGCAGCUAUAGAGACUGCGAGACUGGCCGAGAGGACCCAGAAAAAGUAGGUGUCCGUAUUCUGAAGUCGGAUUGGAUGUUGUCGCGUCUCUGGAGCAGUCCCGUUGGUGGGCAGUGUUGUGUAGCCGCGGUGGUCGGAGCGGGUGGAAUUGGGCGGUUGUCGGCGUGAGUUCUGCCCAUCAGGAGCCCAGGGCCUGUGCUGUCGCUGCGAGACAGCACCUUGCAGCUUCAAGCUGCUGAUUGAAAAACAGACGGCGAACUCCGGUCAGGACGCACCCCUGGAGUCCUGUUCAGACACACCCCGGUGCUGUUGGCUGUACACGCUUAGAUACUAAAAACACGAGUGACUUCUGCCUAAGAACUCUUUGUACCUUUGAGGCCGGUGAAUCUUUGGCAUCAUUUACGUUCUCACGUCUUCAUAAACACUGAUUCUUUGAACUCGAUUCGUGAUCACUGGCUUUUGUUCAUGUGACUCAUAAGUGGUCCUAUAAAGUGUGAAUCCGAUAGACUGUGUUAAACUUAUAAGGAAAGAGAUGCACAUGUAAGGUGAACCAUAUCCAACUGAUACGGCAGUUGGAAGAAGAUUUAAAGUGAUUUACGUUUUAAACAUGAAUGCUAAAGCUGUGCAUGUUGGAGGGGACAAUUACUGAGAGUUUGGUGUGUUAGUCUUAGAUAGCGUUUUUAAAAAUGCCCACUAAUGAUGAGUAGAAGUCGCCCAUGUGUUUAUUAUGAAAAUAGUAUUCAGUAGUGGAAUGAGAGUUGGUUCUGGGAAUGUGCAAUUUUAAUGGAUCGUUCUAGUAGCUCCUUUAUUUCAAAACCACAGAAUAUUGGAAUUUAAUCUGCUGGCAUUCGGUCGUAUAUUUGCGUCCCAUUGCUGCCAUGAUACAUCACUCACAAACUUAGCGGCUUAACACGACACAAGCGCACUCACUCUCAGUUCUGCGGGUCAGAAGCCCGAGUACAGUGGCUCAGGUGGGUUCUCUGCUCAGCAUCUCAUAAAGCUGAAAUCCUCGUGUUGACUGGACCUGGUUCUUUUUGGAGGCUCUGAGGAUGAGCCUGUGUCCACACUCCUUCAGGCCAAAUUCAGGCACUUGUGAGUAUUGGCCUGAGGUCUUGUUUCCUGUCCCCAGUCAGACUGGGGACUUGUCUUUGCUCCUGUAGGCUGCCCACCUUCCUUCUCUGGUUUUCUGCGCAGCUGCCCUGCAGCAAGAGUGGGUCCAGGUCCCUCCCAACCUUGAAAUCCCUCUGACUGCUCCUUGUGCAGUGUCUGUCCUGGCUCCAGCCAGAGGAAGUUUCCUCUUUCUAAGGGCUCGUGUGAUCACAGUGGGUCCAUAUAGAUAAUCCAGGGUCGUCUCCCUUUUCUAAGGUCUGUUACCUUUAAUACAUCUGCAAACCCCUGUUGUCAGGUAAUACAACAUGGGAACAGGUUCUAAGGCUUAAGGCAUAGGCAUCCCUGAAGGGACUGUUCUUCUUGCCGAAGGGAAUUUAUAUACAACGUCGGUACUUUGUUCAACGCGGUUACACCCGAUUUCUAUUCAUAGGAAUUGAAGUGGCGCAGAGGACAUGUGUACAUGAGGUAUGUUUUCUGCAAAACGGCAGGGAGUCUUCUCUUUCUGUGGGUAUCAGUAAAUGUUUGUCAGGAGCAGAAGGAGAGAGAUUUUUGUGGGAUGUAUAAGGCAUUAAUGUAUUUUCAUAAUUGAUUAGAGAUGCAUCCUACUUUAUAUAAAGAGAACUUAGUCUUGUUUAAAGUGUAAGUUCUGUCCCUGUGCAUGUCCAUUUUGUGUUGGAGUCAAAAUGAGUAUUUACUCUCUGCAGAGUAAUGGCCAGAGCUAGACACCAUCAGACUUCGUAAGUGCCAGUCGUGGGAGACCUCAUCCCCAUCCAGAACUGCUGGCAUUGGGAGCAUUUUCAUCUGCGCAGCUUCUCAUCUGCCGUCUCAUCUGCCAUGCGUGCCAUCUGCCUUGGGCCCCAUACUUUUCCUCUCGCCUGUGGGGGAGUUGCUUUGUUCCCUUCCCUGCCAGCUCCUCAGAGUGUCACUGGCAGCAGGGCCAGUGGAGUGUGGACCCCAGAUCUGUCCUGUGCCCGUAUCUGCUUGAGGGUCGCUUUGAAAAUAUGCAUGAGCAUCUGCCUGCCUGCCAGUUGGUACCAACUCGGAAACACGGGAUUCUCGGUCAGAUUAGCUCACAUCCUCCUCUCUGCUGUGUGGGCGAGCGGCCCCAAGGGGGUCACAGCCCACUUUGCUAGCAAUCACGGAGCACCCAUUUCAAGGCGUGCCGGCACCUGAGAGUGGGGUCCUUCCUUAGAAUUGUUUCAUACCUGGUUAAAGAGAUUAGAAGGGGUGUUUUGAUAAGUAUUUGCCAGAAGAAGGCAUCAGGUGAAAACAGUUCUUUUGGCCUCUAGUUUAGCCACUGGCUUCGCAAAUACUCCCAGGCAACCGUGUUGCCUUAGGCGCUCUUCUGGGCGUGAGCAUAUGAUAGCACCAAAGAGUUGGUCCCUGCCCUUGGGAAGUUUGAGGGCUCGAUAGUAAGAGACAGCACGUUGCUGGUGGGACUAUACAAUGGAAAAUACUUUGACAGUUCUUCAAAUAGUUAAACGCAGAGUUACAUAUGACCCAGCAGUUCCACUCCUAGGCGUGUAACCCAGGGAAGUGAAGACGCAGGUGCACUUAAAACGUAGACACCAGUGCUCCUGGCAGCUUUAUUCCUGGCCGCCACUGAGCGGAAACACCCAGCUGUCUGCCAGCGGGUGAAUGGAUAAAAACGUGACACGGAGAUUCGGUGCAGUGUUCUCCGAUCACGAAAAGGAGUAAAGUAGCCUGCAAACACUCCUAGCAGAAGAAGGUAGACAAAAAGACUGCAAACGGUAUAGUCCCCUUUAUACAAAAUGUCCAGAAUAGGUAAAUCCCUAGAGGCACAGGUAGAUUUGCGGUUGCCCGGGGCUGGAAGGAAGGAUGCAGCAAGUGUGACGGCCACUGGCUGUGGGGUUCUUACCCGACGAGCAUCCGUGAGGAUGUGGGUUCGCGCUCCCUGACCUUGCUCCGCGGGGUACGGAUCCCGCGUUGCCCUGAGCUGUGGUGUAGGUCCUAGACGUGGCUCGGAUCUGGCGUGGCUGUGGCUGUGGCUGUGGUGGAGGCCGGUGGCUGCAGCUCCGAUUAGACCCCUAGCCGGGAACCUCCGUGUGCUGCGGGUGCGGCCCUAGAAGCCAGGAGGCCAAAAAAAGGGCGGUUACAACAGGCGGUAGCAGAUGCCGCAGUGGGGCUGUGGCCGCGUCCUGCAGUGGUGCGAAGUCACGAUUUGAGGGGUUGAAGGGCAGGGGAAGCGCGUCCGGAGGCGCGGCUGCCGGGUGAUCUUCGAAAGGGUGAGCGGGGGUCGGUCCGCGAACAAGGGUGUGGAGGUGGGCACGUCCCUUUGCCGCGGUUUCUUCCCGGCUCGUCCUUCUCUCGCGCUUUAUCUUGAUGUGCCCCGACUCCCUUGGCGAGACUCCCCGCCCGCCACAAGCUGGGCCAACUAGAGGCCUUUGCUCACUCUUACCCCCCUGGCGGCGGCGGGGGCUCUGCCUUCCCCCGCGGCUUCAAGCUCCGCUGCAAAGCCGGCUCGGCCUCGCUGUCACGCAGACGUCGGCUCUCGUCCCCGUUCCACUGAGAUUCACGCCAGCUGGGUUUGGUGGCCGCAAGGCAGAGACUGCAAAGCUUGGACAGAAGGGAUGAGAUUGGCUGCGUGUCCUCAGGGAGCGCCCACCCUCAGUCCUGGAGAGUCUCAUUUUCCAGGAGGAGUUCCGUCGAUGCCCACGGUGGUGGAGAGAGAAACCCUGGCACAAAGGUGAAACGCUGGGCGCUUAGGGCCGGUUAAUAAUUCUAACUGAUCCAUCACUGGGGCUGAACCCUCUUCUGAAGGAGCUUUUAAGAGCAUCUGCCUCCUUACUUGACUCGGCUUAUUUUUUUUUUCUUUGUCUUUUUGCCUUUUCUAGGGCUGCUCCCACAGCAUAUGAAGGUUCCCAGGCCAGGGGUCUAAUCGGAGCUGUAGCCGCCGGCCUACACCAGAGCCACAGCCACUUGGGAUCCAAGCCGUGUCUGCGUCCUACACCACAGCUCACAGCAACAGCGGAUCCUUAACCCAUCAGCAAGGCCGGGGAUUGAACCCACAACCUCAUGGUUCCUGGUCGGAUUCAUUAACCACUGGGCCACGACGGGAACUCUGAGUCAGCCUAUCUUUUGAAGAGAUGAAUUAGCUCUUCUUAAAACUGCUAUUGACAUAGUGACCUUAUUUACUGAAACACAGCAUCUGAGACAUAGAUGGAGUAAGCGGUACCCUUGGUGGAGCUGGUAUUUGUGCUGCUUGGCUAUUGCCGUCUCCUUGAGAGACUUUGUGAUGAGCCGUUGAGAGUUUCUGUACCGGGAGCUGGACAGGAGCCUCAGAUGCUGAAGAUAUAGGGAUCCCUGGGGUCUUCUUUGCCGAAACCAAAAGAUGAUUUAGGAGGUUUUCUUAUGUCCUUUUAUCAUCUGGUACAUCUGGGACUAAAUUUAAAAAGCUGGACGAGUCCCUUCCCUCCCUCUGUCUGUCUCCUCUUCCUCUCUCUCUCCCUCUCUCUUUUAUUUUUUUUUUGGUUUUUAGGGCUGCACCCUUGGCGUAUGGAAGUUCCCGGGCCAGGGGUCAAACCAGAGCUACAGCUGCCGGCCUCCACUACAGCCACAGCAACGCCAGAUCUGAGCCGUAUCUGUGACCUACCCCACAGCUCAAGGCAGCGCCAGAUCCUUAAGCCACUGCGCAGGGCCAGGGACGGGACCCACGUUCUCACAGAUACUAGGCGGGUUGGUGUCUGCUGGGCCGCGGGAACUCCUCUGCCUUUGGCUCAGCAGCAGUCCUGUUUCUUUUGCUGUUCAGCAGCAGUCACUCUUCACCAGAUGGUGUCCCUCCUUUCUGCCUCCCGGUCGCCGGGCACAGUGCUCACGUGGCAGCCGUGUUCAGAGGGGCAUCUCCCGAGCGGGCACAUGUUGUCUUACGUUUCGUCUCACGUUGCUGCUGCUGGUGGUGGGAGUUCGUGAGAUCCUAAUGGAGGGGAAUGGGCUGCCUCCUCAGCAGGGUCAGGAGGUCCAGGGGCUGGGGAGGUCGGAAUCUUCGAGAGCAUCUGCUCACGUGUCUCCAUCCUGUGGGCCAGGAUCCAGGGUUUCCUCACCAGGGCUCUGGUUUCGGGGGAGCCGACCCACGCCUGUUGGCCGUCCACCUGCCUCUGGACUUCAGCCGCUGCGCCAGUCCGGUCUGUGCUCCAUCCUCAUCUUCUGCCCUCCCGCUGCACGGGACGAGCACUGCUCUGGCUCUCGUGCUUUGUGGCAGUUAUUGGCUCAUCGCUCUUAGCUUUGCAUUAUUAAUCCAUAGGGCAGCGAUGCAAUUGAGCAAUAAUUACCUGAUUCCCUUGUUCUUGCGUUUAUCAUUCCCCGUACACUCCCAGUGCCCGAAUCAUCCCCUUGGCUAGGGCGUGCCACUCUGACUGCUAGCACCCCAGCUUAUCGCACGAGAACAUUUCACCAACUGGACGCCCACCUUGUGGGUUGUCUGCGUACCACCUGCCUCCACGGUCUUGAACCUCAUUACCAGAGGGCUUCCGCUGAGACCCCAGUUCCUAAACUCCAUCUCAGCACCUGUUUCUCAAGCUACUCCAAGUACAGUCUGUCACAGACUAACCUUUCUGGGAAGCAGGCACAGAGGUGACUUAAGAAUUCAAAAGGUUACACAUAAAGGAAAAGGGUGGAAGCAAGACUGGGUAGGCGGAGCUGUCAGACCUUCGUGCCCUCUUGGCAAAGUCUCUGCCGGGCCGGUGAAGAUCACAAAGCAACCACCACCUGUUGGAAGGGUCCUAUAUUUGGUGGAAAUAGUAGGUCUUUGAACCAUUGUCUUGCUCAGUGAUUUGUGGGGGACACCCCAAGGAGAACAUGACAUCUGCUCGGCUGCUGGGGCUGAGCAAGGCAGUUAACUAGAAGCUGCCUGCUGACCAUAUGCCUUGAAGCCAGGCAGCAAGUCCUUUUUUGUUACACUUUUAUAAUUCGUUUUUGAAAGUAAAAUUUAUUGAUGUUUUACAAGUGUUUAAUUUGAUGAGUUACGACAAACGUACCCGGUAGUGUGACCCCCACCACGAUCAGGAUAAGCACACUUCUAUUACCACCCACAGUUCCCCACGCCUCUUUGUAUUUAGGCUUUUCUCUCAGCCCCGACAACCACGCCCCUGAUUUCUGUACAUAGAGUUUUACCUUUUCCAAAAUGGCAUUUAGAUGGAUGGUAAAGUAUGCAGCCAUUUUUUUCUUCAUAAAUUAUGAGGCCUUUGAGACCAUAUGGUUGCAUGUAAGCUUGUCCUUGUUUAUUGCUGAGUAAUAUUCCAUUUUACAGAUGAGUGGACAGCAAUUUGUGUAUCUAUGCUUUCUCCAGUUGAUGAUGGUUGUUUUGAGUUUUAGGCCUCUCUGAUAAACUUGCUAUAAAUAUUCGCAAAUAGGCCUUUGUAAAGACGUAUAUUUCCAUUUAUCUUAGGUAAAUACCCAAGAUAGGAUCGCUGAUUCACAUGGUAGGCAUAUGUUUAUUAGAAAAUUUCAGGAGUUCCCGUCGUGGCACAGUGGUUAACGAAUCCAACUGGGAACCAUGAGGUUGAGGGUUCGAUCCCUGGCCUCGCUCAGUGGGUUAACGAUCCGGCGUUGCCGUGAGCUGUGGUGUAGGUUGCAGACGCGGCUCGGAUCCCGAGUUGCUGUGGCUCUGGUGUAGGCUGGCGGCUGUGGCUCCGAUUGGACCCCUGGCCUGGGAACCUCCAUAUGCCGCAGGAGCGGCCCUAGAAAAGGCAAAAAGACGGAAAAAAAAAAAAAAA